AAGUCGUAACAAGGUUUCCGUAGGUGAACCUGCGGAAGGAUCAUUAAAGAAUACCAGGCUCUCGAGCCCUAUUCUCACCCCGUGUCUACCUACUUUGUUGCUUCGGCGGCGCCAGCUCCGGCUGGGCUAAGUCCGUCGAGGGCCCAACUCUCGAAUCUCUGCUGUCUGAGUACUAGCUAAUAGUCAAAAA
RNAcentral lists this unclassified non-coding RNA (190 nucleotides) under plant metagenome. Its description in RNAcentral is "partial contains small subunit ribosomal RNA and internal transcribed spacer 1". The stretch from base 1 to 46 matches the Rfam family "Eukaryotic small subunit ribosomal RNA", at positions 1786 to 1831 of the family's 1831-position model. The record is from RNAcentral.